GACGAACGCUGGCGGCGUGCUUAACACAUGCAGGUCGAACGGUAAGGCCCUUCGGGGUACACGAGUGGCGAACGGGUGAGUAACACGUGGGUGAUCUGCCCUGCACUUCGGGAUAAGCCUGGGAAACUGGGUCUAAUACCGGAUAGGACCACUGCCUGCAUGGGUGGUGGUGGAAAGCUUUUGCGGUGUGGGAUGGGCCCGCGGCCUAUCAGCUUGUUGGUGGGGUGAUGGCCUACCAAGGCGACGCCGGGUAGCCGGCCGGAGAGGGUGACCGGCCAGGCGGGGACUGAGGUACGGCCCAGGCUCGUACGGGAGGCAGCAGUGGGGAAUAUUGAACGAUGGGCGCAAGCCUGAUGCAGCAAGGCCGCGUGAGGGAUGACGGCCUUCGGGUUGUAAACCUCUUUCAGCACCGACGAAGCGCAAGUGACGGUAGGUGCAGAAGAAGGACCGGCCAACUACGUGCCAGCCGCCGCCGUAA
This 478-nucleotide ribosomal RNA is filed under the name uncultured bacterium. Its description in RNAcentral is "partial 16S ribosomal RNA". It matches the Rfam family "Bacterial small subunit ribosomal RNA", at positions 28 to 523 of the family's 1533-position model. The record is from RNAcentral.